UUCUUCUUUUCUUUACCAAGGAGCCUCUAUAUAAAAACCUGGUAACUUCUACACCGUGGGCAUUAUCAGUGUAGAAAUAAAUGGAUGAAAUCGGUGUAAGUGGAAAAUAUCAACAGCUUUAGCCAAAUGACCUGUAUUUGUUUGUUAUUCAUAUGAGAUUACGAAAGUUCGACCUUGGAGAGCGAGCAGAUACGCGUUAUAUAUCGGUGGAGUGUGUCACGAGAUAAAUAUCGCCAAGUGCAAUUGAGUGGGGUGUAAAAGAUUCGAGCAAUCACGAAAAAAAUAAGACCAAUGCUUAGAUAAGCAAAGGAAAAACCACAGCAGUCAAGUAAUAGCUAUAAGUGGAGGAACAUUUGUAAGAAAGGUGACAGUAUUUAAGUUACCCAAGAACCAAGUGAAUAAGAACCAAGUGUGAAGAUGAACAAUGUGAAUAUCUGGAUGGAGUACCGGCAAAUGAAGUGGAUGAAAAAGAGGGUCAGGAGACAAAGAAAGAGGCAGUGGAGGUAAAAGCUGGAGAUGGAGAAGUUGUGGAAACCAUGAUUGAGCUGGCCAGUAAGGAGCAAUCAGAAGGACCUAACACAGAAUAGUAGGGAUGAGGGAAAUCAUCAAUGGAAUUAAGAGGAUGGGGGGAUGAACAUACAAAAACCUGUGGGACCAAUCCUGGCCAAAAGCAUCAACAGCCCUAGCUAGAGAAAGAGGUACCAAAUACCAAAUAGAAGUAAUGGGAGGUUAAGAGAUGUAGUAAAGGGGUCUAUGUGGAAGACAAAGCCAUCCGAAAAUGAGAAUCGAGUAAACACUUCAAUGUACAGAAUGUGUCAGGAUGAGAAAAACAAAUUGCAAUCCAAGUGAGAGUACCCAGAACAUGAGGAAGUAUGAUCAGGUGCCAACCACAAGAGCAAUGCCUUCCAAAAAGGGACAAAAGAAAGAAAGGAACAUACCAUAAAUCUUAUUAGUAUUGGAAGGAAAACAAACAGCAGUGCCACAUCCAAUACUAACCCAAAAGCAAAGAAGCCAAGUGAAGAGGGAAUGAACUGAAGAUGGCAAAAACCCUAACAUGGGGGGAAGAAAGAGGAGCUAUCCCUCAGCAAACCUGAAAUGUAAACAGAACACUGAAUAAAGGGAAACAUAAGACAUCAAAAGUAUCAGUGACGAAAGGGGAAAAAAGAAUGACAAAUGCCAGAAGAAAUUUGUCUGAAGUUAAACUAAAGUAAAAUUGAAAGCCCAUAGAAGGUAACUCUAAAGAGAUAAAAGGAACAGCACAGAAAACAUAAAUAUAUUAUUCUGCAAAAUGUGUAAAGGAGGUCUAGCAGAUACUACAAUAGA
Long non-coding RNA from Limulus polyphemus (Atlantic horseshoe crab), 1323 nucleotides. RefSeq lists it as uncharacterized. The record is from RefSeq and is a predicted model, not a curated record. NCBI's taxonomy places the organism in Eukaryota, Metazoa, Arthropoda, Merostomata, Xiphosura, Limulidae. The transcript has 3 exons.